RNAcentral lists this ribosomal RNA (353 nucleotides) under uncultured bacterium. RNAcentral's name for it is "bacterial SSU rRNA". It matches the Rfam family "Bacterial small subunit ribosomal RNA", at positions 527 to 881 of the family's 1533-position model. The record is from RNAcentral.
GUAGGGUGCAAGCGUUAAUCGGAAUUACUGGGCGUAAAGCGUGCGCAGGCGGUUGGGUAAGACAGAUGUGAAAUCCCCGGGCUUAACCUGGGAACUGCAUUUGUGACUGUCCGUCUGGAGUACGUCAGAGGGGGGUGGAAUUCCACGUGUAGCAGUGAAAUGCGUAGAUAUGUGGAAGAACACCGAUGGCGAAGGCAGCCCCCUGGGACGCAACUGACGCUCAUGCACGAAAGCGUGGGGAGCAAACAGGAUUAGAUACCCUGGUAGUCCACGCCCUAAACGAUGUCUGCUGGUUGUUGGGAAUUUAAUUCUCAGUAACGAAGCCAACGCGUGAAGCAGACCGCCUGGGGAGU